RNAcentral lists this ribosomal RNA (253 nucleotides) under uncultured bacterium. Its description in RNAcentral is "partial 16S ribosomal RNA". It matches the Rfam family "Bacterial small subunit ribosomal RNA", at positions 524 to 776 of the family's 1533-position model. The record is from RNAcentral.
UACAGAGGGGGCAAGCGUUGUUCGGAAUUACUGGGCGUAAAGGGCGCGUAGGCGGCCUUCUAAGUCGAACGUGAAAUCCCUGGGCUCAACCCAGGAACUGCGUCCGAUACUGGAAGGCUUGAACCCGGGAGAGGGAUGCGGAAUUCCAGGUGUAGCGGUGAAAUGCGUAGAUAUCUGGAGGAACACCGGUGGCGAAGGCGGCAUCCUGGACCGGUAUUGACGCUGAGGCGCGAAAGCCAGGGGAGCAAACGGG